RNAcentral lists this ribosomal RNA (450 nucleotides) under uncultured bacterium. RNAcentral describes it as "bacterial SSU rRNA". It matches the Rfam family "Bacterial small subunit ribosomal RNA", at positions 330 to 794 of the family's 1533-position model. The record is from RNAcentral.
GCCAGACUCCUACGGGAGGCAGCAGUGGGGAAUAUUGGGCAAUGGGCGCAAGCCUGACCCAGCAACGCCGCGUGAAGGAAGAAGGCUUUCGGGUUGUAAACUUCUUUUGUCAGGGACGAAGCAAGUGACGGUACCUGACGAAUAAGCCACGGCUAACUACGUGCCAGCAGCCGCGGUAAUACGUAGGUGGCAAGCGUUAUCCGGAUUUAUUGGGUGUAAAGGGCGUGUAGGCGGGAAUGCAAGUCAGAUGUGAAAACUAUGGGCUCAACCCAUAGCCUGCAUUUGAAACUGUAUUUCUUGAGUGCUGGAGAGGCAAUCGGAAUUCCGUGUGUAGCGGUGAAAUGCGUAGAUAUACGGAGGAACACCAGUGGCGAAGGCGGGUUGCUGGACAGUAACUGACGCUGAGGCGCGAAAGCGUGGGGAGCAAACAGGAUUAGAUACCCUCGUAUU